GACCGGCUGGCCCAAUGGUUAAGGCGCCUGACUACGGUGACCAUGUUAUCAGGAGAUUUGUAGGUUCGAAUCCUACGUCGGUCG
Dacryopinax sp. is the source of this 84-nucleotide transfer RNA. It matches the Rfam family "tRNA". Rfam says of the family: Transfer RNA (tRNA) molecules are approximately 80 nucleotides in length. Their secondary structure includes four short double-helical elements and three loops (D, anti-codon, and T loops). Further hydrogen bonds mediate the characteristic L-shaped molecular structure. tRNAs have two regions of fundamental functional importance: the anti-codon, which is responsible for specific mRNA codon recognition, and the 3' end, to which the tRNAs corresponding amino acid is attached (by aminoacyl-tRNA synthetases). tRNAs cope with the degeneracy of the genetic code in two manners: having more than one tRNA (with a specific anti-codon) for a particular amino acid; and 'wobble' base-pairing, i.e. permitting non-standard base-pairing at the 3rd anti-codon position. Lineage: Eukaryota; Fungi; Basidiomycota; Dacrymycetes; Dacrymycetales; Dacrymycetaceae. The record is from Rfam.